CAGCACCUCAAGUGGUCAGGAUGAUUAUUGGGCCUAAAGCAUCCGUAGCCGGCUUUGUAAGUUUUCGGUUAAAUCCAUGUGCUCAACGCAUGGGCUGCCGAAAAUACUGCAUGGCUAGGGAGUGGGAGAGGUAGACGGUACUCAGUAGGAAGGGGUAAAAUCCUUUGAUCUAUUGAUGACCACCUGUGGCGAAGGCGGUCUACCAGAACACGUUCGACGGUGAGGGAUGAAAGCUGGGAGCAAACCGGAUUAGAUACCCGGGUAGUCCAGCUGUAAACGAUGCAGACUCGAUGAUGCAUUGGCAU
Molecule: ribosomal RNA, 305 nt
Filed under: uncultured marine archaeon
Lineage: Archaea
Description: bacterial SSU rRNA
Rfam family: Archaeal small subunit ribosomal RNA
Source: RNAcentral